Molecule: small nuclear RNA, 107 nt
Organism: Aotus nancymaae (Ma's night monkey)
Lineage: Eukaryota; Metazoa; Chordata; Mammalia; Primates; Aotidae
Source: Ensembl
GUGCUUGCCUCGGCAGCAUAUAUACUAACAUUGGAACAAUACAGAAAAGAUUAGCAUGGCUGCUGCACAAGGAUGACAUACAAAUUCAUGAAGCAUUCAAUAUCUUU